This 402-nucleotide ribosomal RNA is filed under the name uncultured bacterium. Its description in RNAcentral is "bacterial SSU rRNA". It matches the Rfam family "Bacterial small subunit ribosomal RNA", at positions 356 to 773 of the family's 1533-position model. The record is from RNAcentral.
GGGGAAUAUUGCACAAUGGGGGAAACCCUGAUGCAGCGACGCCGCGUGAGUGAAGAAGUAUUUCGGUAUGUAAAGCUCUAUCAGCAGGGACGAAUAAAUGACGGUACCUGACUAAGAAGCCCCGGCUAACUACGUGCCAGCAGCCGCGGUAAUACGUAGGGGGCAAGCGUUAUCCGGAUUUACUGGGUGUAAAGGGAGCGUAGACGGUGAUGUAAGUCAGAUGUGAAAGCCCGGGGCUCAACCCCGGGACUGCAUUUGAAACUAUGUUGCUAGAGUGCAGGAGAGGUAAGUGGAAUUCCUAGUGUAGCGGUGAAAUGCGUAGAUAUUAGGAGGAACACCAGUGGCGAAGGCGGCUUACUGGACUGUAACUGACGUUGAGGCUCGAAAGCGUGGGGAGCAAAC